CUCUAGCUGAAGAGUCCUAAAUAGGACGAAAUCCGCAUCCUGGAC
This 45-nucleotide non-coding RNA is filed under the name Trichobilharzia regenti. The record is from RNAcentral. Lineage: Eukaryota; Metazoa; Platyhelminthes; Trematoda; Strigeidida; Schistosomatidae.